CUUUGGGAUAACCCUCGGGAACGGGGGCUAAUACCGAAUAUUACCUCUGGCCGCAUGGCUGGGGGUGGAAAGUUUUUCGGCUUGGGAUGGGCUCGCGGCCUAUCAGCUUGUUGGUGGGGUGAUGGCCUACCAAGGCGACGACGGGUAGCCGGCCUGAGAGGGCGACCGGCCACACUGGGACUGAGACACGGCCCAGACUCCUACGGGAGACAGCAGUGGGGAAUAUUGCACAAUGGGCGGAAGCCUGAUGCAGCGACGCCGCGUGAGGGAUGACGGCUUUCGGGUUGUAAACCUCUUUCAGCAGGGACGAAGCGGAAGUGACGGUACCUGCAGAAGAAGCGCCGGCCAACUACGUGCCAGCAGCCGCGGUAAGACGUAGGGCGCGAGCGUUGUCCGGAUUUAUUGGGCGUAAAGAGCUCGUAGGCGGCUUGUCGCGUCGACCGUGAAAACUUGGGGCUCAACCCCAAGCCUGCGGUCGAUACGGGCAGGCUAGAGUUCGGUAGGGGAGACUGGAAUUCCUGGUGUAGCGGUGAAAUGCGCAGAUAUCAGGAGGAACACCGGUGGCGAAGGCGGGUCUCUGGGCCGAUACUGACGCUGAGGAGCGAAAGCGUGGGGAGCGAACAGGACUAGAUACCCUGGUAGUCCACGCUGUAAACGUUGGGCGC
This 665-nucleotide ribosomal RNA is filed under the name uncultured Micromonosporaceae bacterium. Its description in RNAcentral is "bacterial SSU rRNA". It matches the Rfam family "Bacterial small subunit ribosomal RNA", at positions 136 to 816 of the family's 1533-position model. The record is from RNAcentral. Lineage: Bacteria; Bacillati; Actinomycetota; Actinomycetes; Micromonosporales; Micromonosporaceae.